AACUCACAAAACCCACACAAGGGGGAUCGAUCGAACAAGGCAGGAGGAGGGGGAAACCCUAAACUCAAGAAAUCAAGCAAUUGAAGCCUAAAAUCAUAAGAAAAUCCAGUGCAUGAGCCCUCUUAUCGAUCAUCUAAGCAUACCUAGUGAAGUGCUUGAAAGAAUAAGAACCAUGUCAAGAUGGACCAACUCAUGGGAAGCAAACGGGUCAAAGAGGAGGCAAAGAAACUAGCAUAAUCAUGGCGAGCACAAGGUUUAUGAAUGUCGGACUUUCAAAGUGUUGAUAUAGUAAUGAAAUGAUUGAGUGUUGGAAGAUAAUCGGGUUGAAGUAACUUAAGCGGUUAGAAUAUGCUAUGGACGUUUUAGUUUAUACAAUAUUUUAUGUUUGGUCGUCACCACCUACUAACAGGUAAACCCUCAAUUCAGGCGACUUGGAGAAUCGGAGCGAGCGCGUGUUCAUGUUAUGUCGUACCAAACGCUUCCGCUAGCUUGUUCGAAUGUUUUUAGUCAAAAAUUUUUUGUAUUGGUUCUUAGUAGUAUUUUGUCGAAUGAAUCGUAGAAUUGUAACUAGUUUGAUUAUGUUUAAAACAGGGGUAUGCUCGUUUUAUGGACGGGUCAUGCCCAAUUUUUGUUAAAUUAUAGUAUGAUAAUAUCACAUUCAGGCAGAUGAAAUUUUGGGCGUAACACUUAUACAACAUUCUAGUCCCCAGAGAGGAAGAAAUAUUUGAAGAAACCAUUCAAAGAGGGGGAUCUUUAGCUCUUAUCUCAAACUCACAAAGAACACCACUUACCAAUGAUCCACAACCUUCAAACAGUCAAAAUCUUGAAAUUUCUGAUGCAUCAUCAGAUUUUUCAGCUUUUGCUGAAGCAAUAGCACUGCUCACCAAAACAUUUGAGCAGAGGUUGAGGGGAGGAGGCCAAAGAUACCA
Long non-coding RNA from Helianthus annuus (common sunflower), 929 nucleotides. RefSeq lists it as uncharacterized. The transcript is spliced from 4 exons. NCBI's taxonomy places the organism in Eukaryota, Viridiplantae, Streptophyta, Magnoliopsida, Asterales, Asteraceae. The record is from RefSeq and is a predicted model, not a curated record.